Molecule: ribosomal RNA, 281 nt
Filed under: Salmonella enterica subsp. enterica serovar Muenchen
Lineage: Bacteria; Pseudomonadati; Pseudomonadota; Gammaproteobacteria; Enterobacterales; Enterobacteriaceae
Also listed under: 2 other names
Description: partial 23S ribosomal RNA
Rfam family: Bacterial large subunit ribosomal RNA
Source: RNAcentral
CUGAGGGGGGCUGCUCCUAGUACGAGAGGACCGGAGUGGACGCAUCACUGGUGUUCGGGUUGUCAUGCCAAUGGCACUGCCCGGUAGCUAAAUGCGGAAGAGAUAAGUGCUGAAAGCAUCUAAGCACGAAACUUGCCCCGAGAUGAGUUCUCCCUGAGACUUUAGGUCUCCUGAAGGAACGUUGAAGACGACGACGUUGAUAGGCCGGGUGUGUAAGCGCAGCGAUGCGUUGAGCUAACCGGUACUAAUGAACCGUGAGGCUUAACCUUACAACGCCGAAG